AGAGUUUGAUCAUGGCUCAGAUUGAACGCUGGCGGCAGGCCUAACACAUGCAAGUCGAGCGGUAGCACAGAGAGCUUGCUCUCGGGUGACGAGCGGCGGACGGGUGAGUAAUGUCUGGGAAACUGCCUGAUGGAGGGGGAUAACUACUGGAAACGGUAGCUAAUACCGCAUAACGUCGCAAGACCAAAGUGGGGGACCUUCGGGCCUCAUGCCAUCAGAUGUGCCCAGAUGGGAUUAGCUAGUAGGUGGGGUAAUGGCUCACCUAGGCGACGAUCCCUAGCUGGUCUGAGAGGAUGACCAGCCACACUGGAACUGAGACACGGUCCAGACUCCUACGGGAGGCAGCAGUGGGGAAUAUUGCACAAUGGGCGCAAGCCUGAUGCAGCCAUGCCGCGUGUGUGAAGAAGGCCUUCGGGUUGUAAAGCACUUUCAGCGGGGAGGAAGGCGAUAAGGUUAAUAACCUUGGCGAUUGACGUUACCCGCAGAAGAAGCACCGGCUAACUCCGUGCCAGCAGCCGCGGUAAUACGGAGGGUGCAAGCGUUAAUCGGAAUUACUGGGCGUAAAGCGCACGCAGGCGGUCUGUCAAGUCGGAUGUGAAAUCCCCGGGCUCAACCUGGGAACUGCAUUCGAAACUGGCAGGCUAGAGUCUUGUAGAGGGGGGUAGAAUUCCAGGUGUAGCGGUGAAAUGCGUAGAGAUCUGGAGGAAUACCGGUGGCGAAGGCGGCCCCCUGGACAAAGACUGACGCUCAGGUGCGAAAGCGUGGGGAGCAAACAGGAUUAGAUACCCUGGUAGUCCACGCCGUAAACGAUGUCGAUUUGGAGGUUGUGCCCUUGAGGCGUGGCUUCCGGAGCUAACGCGUUAAAUCGACCGCCUGGGGAGUACGGCCGCAAGGUUAAAACUCAAAUGAAUUGACGGGGGCCCGCACAAGCGGUGGAGCAUGUGGUUUAAUUCGAUGCAACGCGAAGAACCUUACCUGGUCUUGACAUCCACAGAACUUUCCAGAGAUGGAUUGGUGCCUUCGGGAACUGUGAGACAGGUGCUGCAUGGCUGUCGUCAGCUCGUGUUGUGAAAUGUUGGGUUAAGUCCCGCAACGAGCGCAACCCUUAUCCUUUGUUGCCAGCGGUUAGGCCGGGAACUCAAAGGAGACUGCCAGUGAUAAACUGGAGGAAGGUGGGGAUGACGUCAAGUCAUCAUGGCCCUUACGACCAGGGCUACACACGUGCUACAAUGGCAUAUACAAAGAGAAGCGACCUCGCGAGAGCAAGCGGACCUCAUAAAGUAUGUCGUAGUCCGGAUUGGAGUCUGCAACUCGACUCCAUGAAGUCGGAAUCGCUAGUAAUCGUAGAUCAGAAUGCUACGGUGAAUACGUUCCCGGGCCUUGUACACACCGCCCGUCACACCAUGGGAGUGGGUUGCAAAAGAAGUAGGUAGCUUAACCUUCGGGAGGGCGCUUACCACUUUGUGAUUCAUGACUGGGGUGAAGUCGUAACAAGGUAACCGUAGGGGAACCUGCGGUUGGAUCACCU
RNAcentral lists this ribosomal RNA (1528 nucleotides) under Klebsiella pneumoniae. RNAcentral's name for it is "bacterial SSU rRNA". It matches the Rfam family "Bacterial small subunit ribosomal RNA". Lineage: Bacteria; Pseudomonadati; Pseudomonadota; Gammaproteobacteria; Enterobacterales; Enterobacteriaceae. The record is from RNAcentral.